This is a long non-coding RNA of Phasianus colchicus (ring-necked pheasant), 348 nucleotides long. RefSeq lists it as uncharacterized. Lineage: Eukaryota; Metazoa; Chordata; Aves; Galliformes; Phasianidae. The record is from RefSeq and is a predicted model, not a curated record.
CUCCAAGAGGCAAAGCCUCCAUCAUUACCAUAUCGAACGAUACGCUUUGCUUUGGCUGCUGGCCCUGACUCCACACCUACCUCUCACCCCGCGGCUGAUUCACAUCACUGUCCCCACAUCCCUGCUGAGCUUCCUGUAGGAAAGGACACAGAGAUCCCAAUGAGCAGUGAUCUAGCCCAAGAACAAGCUUGCCAUUUCAGAAAAGCAGGACAAAGGAGAAACCUUCAGUACUAUGCUUGGGGUCACAUCUCUGACCAGGUAGCCCUGGAGAUACUGCAGGAGAAAUGUGCCAGUAGUUUGUAACAGUCUGAAAAUCCACCUCCACCUCACCUCCAGCCGCCGCUGUUU